UUCACUUAUACUUGAUACGCCCUCGCUUCACUUAUUGUCGUCUCUACUUCGUGAUACGCUUAUACUUGUUCGACACUUCUACUUCACUUGCGACCUCUUCUACUUCACUUGUUAGACGCUUCUACUUCAUAAAGACCACUUCUACUUGAUACACACUCAGUCGUAGUUGGAUGUAUGUCUGUGCUUAUAUAGGUACAUAUAAGUAAUGGUUGAAAGACUUAGGAAGGCUCGUCUGCCCUAUUUCCUUUUCUUCGUUGAGAUGUGGUCUGGUGGGAUCGGAUGGCCGUCCGAAGGUCGUUUGACUCAUUAGUUAUAUAUUAUUUAUAUGAGUAUGGACAUAUAGGAAUUAUCUAGUCAGUUCAGUUAAGAGUCUCUACCUCUAGUCUAUACUUACAUUAGAAAGCCACUAUUGGGAAGUCUCUACCUCUAGUUCAACACUUACACACUACCCACUAUUUGGAAGACUCUACCCACUAUUUGGGAUGCAUCUUCAGGACACGGCCUUCUCCGUCGUCUAGUUGGUAACCAGAGUCUCCUGUAGGGAGAGCGGACAUUGUGUGUAUAGAUCUAUACGGGAUUGACACCCCCGCNNNNNNNNNNNNNNNNNNNNNNNNNNNNNNNNNNNNNNNNNNNNNNNNNNNNNNNNNNNNNNNNNNNNNNNNNNNNNNNNNNNNNNNNNNNNNNNNNNNNNNNNNNNNNNNNNNNNNNNNNNNNNNNNNNNNNNNNNNNNNNNNNNNNNNNNNNNNNNNNNNNNNNNNNNNNNNNNNNNNNNNNNNNNNNNNNNNNNNNNNNNNNNNNNNNNNNNNNNNNNNNNNNNNNNNNNNNNNNNNNNNNNNNNNNNNNNNNNNNNNNNNNNNNNNNNNNNNNNNNNNNNNNNNNNNNNNNNNNNUACUUUUUACCACAUAACACUGACCAGUCUUGGUAGAAGGCUGCUUUUAUUAAAGAAAAUAUAGGAUUUUCUGGAAAGAACUCUAAUACACAGAAAACACUUAAACUACUACUUAUUAAAGUUAUUUGAUUGAAAUGUCACUAAAUACUUAUGAACUCACCAGCAUUUGUAAAAAAUGCUGAUACUCGCUUUUCAAAUAACUUGUAUUCUCAGGUCAGCAAUUAGACAGGUACAUCCCCGGAGCUGUUGAUGAAGAUGGCUUAGUACCACACUGUAUUCAUUCUAUUACUUGUAUUACUUCGAUGUAUUGUAAUGUAACCAUGUAAAACUAUUACUAUUAAUGCAAUGUUUUGUUGUACUUUGAUUACUAUAAUGCAUGUGUUGUGAUACUUGACAUGACGUCAUCCACCCCAGAACGUUUCCGCCGUUCCGGUUUUGGGGUGUGACAGAUUGGUAUCAGAGCAUUGUUUAUAGUGAGCUAAGUAUAUCAAUUCAUAAAAGAUAUACAACCUAUAAAUACAAAGGGAUAAAACACUCUGACCAAGAAUUAUACUUUAAAAUAUAACCAUAUUUUACCAAAGUAUAAUAACAUCCAGAAUCUAAACACUCGAACAAAAGUAUCACAAGAAGAACAAUAAUAAAAGUCUUCGGAUGUUGAGCACUACAGUCAAACCUGGGCAAUUAUGUAAUCGUAAGCUGGGAUAAAUGUAACCUGAUCAACUACAUUUAUCCGAGAUGCGAUGAACGUGUGCUUGGGAGUGGUAGUGGCGUACAACAGGUCUGAAACUUACCAAUUAGGGAUGCUAGAGCCAUACAUAGAGUUAAAAUACUAUAGGAGUAUUUUAGAAUGCUAAAAGAUUCACACUAAUCCCAUAAUCAUAUUCAGAAGAUAAGAAUCAAACACGAAUUAAAAUACCAUAGGGGUAUUUUAGGAAUCAUAAACAACCUUGCGUGAAUAACUAAAAAGAUCCUUAUUGAUAUACCUACAACUACAGAGGGUAUACUUCCAAGGUUAUAUAUAAUAAGGAUCCCAUAGGCUAAGAAUGUGUGGUUUCGCUCUAUUUCCUUUUCCUCGUUGGGAUGUGGUUCUAGAGUAGUAUCACAUAUUCGAAGGCCUAUCGGAUCUAAGCUAUAUAUGAUUUGUAUACCCUGUGUAAUCGUAGCAGGACUCGAUAUGGAUCAUCCAGUGGAAUGUUAAUAAUCUCUUAGGAUUCUUUAUACAUUUCCAUUCUCGCGCAAACCCUGUAGACAACCCUACCCACUUCAUUGCUUGACAGAAGAGUUGAAGUCGACCCCAAAGAAGUUCAUUGAGAAGAUUUCCUGUUCGGAAAUAAAUGAACUGGGCGAGACUAUUGAAUACACCAAGUGCCCAUAUUCUUUUAGGGACAUCGGUGAGGAAUUCGCCUAAACUUUGGAGAUUCCCAGUCAUCCAUCAUGAAGUGAUGACGCCCAAAGUCGGAAUCGGAAGGAAGGCGGAGUAGAAAUUCAAUAUGUCCAUACGAGAAGAGAACCCUAGGAAACUACCCGAAUUAAACCAACGCCGAAUCCAGUCAAAGACACGAGGCAGACAACGGGAACCGGUACAUGGGACCCAAGAAGUGUCUUUUUCCUCAUGUUCCUCACGCUAAUACACCCAUAAAAUAAUACAAUUUAGUGAGUUAGUGGUUACACUACUCACACUAUGUGUUAGGUAAGUCGUUGAUUCCCGUUGCCAGUUACACGAUUAGGGCGGGUCCCCGCACCUUAUUGAGAGUGCUUAACCAUGAGCUUUCAUGAGCCGCUCUUUCCGCAGUUCGUUCCGAACCGUUCUUAAAUCUCUCCAGGCCGGAGAGUGGAAUCUUUCCCAGUAUAAAAGGUAACUUAGUAGGAACGACUCGCAUCUUAUGGCCUUUUCCGAUACUCACACUCCUACCUCGAUUACCAAGACUACAUCAUAGGGAUGUAGGUCGACGUUCAAACGACCAGUACCCGAGGCACGGGAAAAAUUAUGCCUAAUGCGAUCGGGACAGAAAUGUCCAGGGUUAACCAUCGUCUCUCAUUGCCUUGUAUUCUUUUCCGUGUAGGAAAACCAUGCCACCGAAGAGGCGUAACCNUCUCUUAUUCGAUGAAGCUACGUUCCAAGCUGCAGUCUCAGCAGCCGUAGCAGCUGUCAUGGCUCACCUGAAUGCUAACACCGCCAAUGUUAGCAAGGGCCCGGUCGGGAUUUCCAAUCCUGGCACUAGACAACAACGACCAACACUUCCAUACUCAGCCACCUGAAAACCUCACUCAAACCCACUAAAGAGAAAACUCAAGAUAGAGGUGGGAAGUACCUCGGCUCAAGGACCUUCCGAAGGGCAACGAGCUGAGGCAGUCUAUACCCCUGUCAAUCCUUCCCUCCCGACCUCAAGAAGACCAUACCUAGGAGACCUUCCCCACUGCAGCAAGUGCAGCUACCAUCAUCAUGGUGCCUGCCGGGAACUCUAUUGUGCUAGGUGCCACAUGUUGGGGCAUACUGCUCGCGUCUGCAGAACCCCGGUUGAGUUCAUUACAUCAACCACCAAUGUGGCGACCCGUACAGUUUGCCACCUAUGUGGUAAAAUGGGACACUUCAAGAAGGACUGCCCAACCGAAGAGAAAGACAAAGACACAGAAGGAGCCUGACACUACUGCUUAGGGAGAAGCGGCAAGGAACUCAUUAGAUUUUGGUACGUCUCUCGAUCUCGGAUAACUAAACUAAAUACAUUAAAAGACUAAUUCAGUGUAAAUUCUUCCCAGUAAGGCGAAAGUCGCAGCACUGUUAUAAAAUUUAAAAUUCAUUAGGUAAAACUAUAAUGACUAAACAUAUACGUUACGGCCAUGUAUAUUUAAGAUGGACAGACCUAGAGUGAGCGAAUGCCGCCUCAUUUCCUGUUCCUCGUUUGGUUGUGGAUUUAGGGCGGGGUCGCUCAGUCAACAGUCCUCCCCACCUUAAAUAUACAUGACUAGUAUAUGUGAGGCGAUUAUAGAAAUGCCUUGUGAGAAUUCUUUCAUGAAAAGGUACUCUAUUCGGAAACACUUAGAAAUCUCUAUAGUUCCGCGUCGACUCUAUCGGUCCAAGUAUCCGCGGUAGCGAUACAUAGGACGAAACCCGAGACGCCUAGAACUUGUGUGCCUGUUCGGAACAUAACUCUAUCGAUCUUCAUCAUAUAUCAUGUCGAAGUAUGCCAGCUUCAACGACUCUAUUGAUCGUGGUUCGACUUCGUGUAACCAUGCGUGCAUUCUUGGUGCUGUGUAAAAAGAACUUUCUCCAUAGCCAUGUCGGCAAAUAAAGGUUCUUCCGAACCUAAACCUAACACAAAUAAUCAAACCUAAUGCGAUCCGUCAAUCGUCCCUCUUAUCUCAAACCUUCCGAAGUACCCAAGGGAGGGUACCAUACAACGAUAACCGACCUCUCAUAGUCAGAUAAACACCGAAGAGAAAGGCGCUGCAGGUACUCUAAGAAGACGACCACCAUCCAAAGCAUACUCCGUAGAUUCCCCAGGAGAACCUUCGCACCUUGCACAUCAGGUUCGUGAACCUAGAGAAUAGAACUCAUGAGACUGACCACUAUAACCAGGUAUACGCUGGCAUACAUCAAGUAUGGGCGGUUAAGCCAAGCAUGAGCUCUACCACGGACCUCUUCGCAAAACACUUUCACCCUAUUCCAUGACAUAGGAGUUGGAGUCAAGAGAAUCACUGCAGGUUGAGCGAGUAAAGUUCCGAGUGAUGAAACCAUAUACCCACUAGAUUUUACCUAGACUGAGAAAACUCAGAACCUUCGGAAGAGUAGUUGCAGUAGAUGCUCGCACUACUCAAGCACCUUGUCCACCCAGUUAUAGACAAGUGGUGCUUAUCAUCCUCCACCCUCUCGUAUGGAGGAAAUCGUCGUCGCCCUGUAGACGAUAGACUUCAUUCUCCGAAGUGAACACUAGAAUACCGAGAACCCAUAGGAUAACCUUCGCAGACAAGAAUAUUUGGUCAAGUGUGAAAGUAGUUGCGUUAAAUCUCAUGACCCGGAUCCUGAAGAGAUCAUAGGCUUGACACCAGCCCUGGUGUCAGUCGAAGGGUUAUGCAGGAACAUGCACUUUCCACGCUAGAAUGAACCACAGUCUUAGAGAUUCCUUGGACUAUUAGGUGUUCCACGAAUACUAUCUCACGCAGAGAUAAUAGAACCACCUCCCGAGAUAGUCCAACGCUCGUUUAGUGAAACCCUAUCUCCUCGACCCUCAGGGUUUCCGUAUCUUAAGCAUCAUUAGUGCAGGUCCAUUUUGCACGAGUUUGGGAUAGACACUCUAUAGCAAACCGAUGACCAUAGUCACACAAUCCUCACGGCAAUCUAGAAAGUCUCUAUCAGCCAGUUGAAAGAAAACACGAAACCGAAGACCACCCGAGCUUCCUAAGGACUAACCUGAAGGACUACACAUCCAGUACAAGUGAGAACGUUAGGAACUUCAGAAUGGCGAUCACGCCAGUGUUGAUCUUGCCAUAGAAGUACACUAUGUUCUUAGUACUGAAAAGCUCUACUCCUUUCCGAGAGCUUAGGACCAUCCGAGAAUCCUCAUGGAGACAUGGUCCCACCCUUUUCAGACCACUACUACUUUCAGAUAUACCACAAGGUUCACAUUCGAUCGAUCCACUUCUUAGACUUGAUACGUGAUUUCCCGACAACACUUUUCGUGCCUCACACAUCUUGAUAGAAAUCAUUGAGGACCCUGACUUCAUAAAUACACCAGUAGGAACCCACUACCUACACUAGACGGAAUCCGCAUCCCGUACGUGAAGGUCUGUCGGAAUGACAAACACAGACUAGAGUUCACUUGGGAAUGCGAGGAAAACCGUAUAGGAAGUACCCUCCUACCUCUACUUGGCCAUUCAUACCUACUUCCUUGCCUAAACCUGAAUUUCGGGACGAAAUUCCCUCUAACGGGGGAAUGAUGUGACAACCCAAGUUGUUCCGUUACAUUUCCCCGUUACCGUUAACGGAAUAUUCCAGUGUAUAAAAGUUCCGUUACUUAGAGGGCGUCAAUUUAAUAAACAUUCCAUUUGGUUGCAAUUUAACAUGCCGUUAAGUCGUGAUAAAAGGAAAUAUAAACACAGGACACACAUUUCCAUUUAUUUGGAAAAUGUCAAGUUUUAUUAUUACGACCACUAAAUCGGGUGCGACCAAAAGCCCCGUAUAACGGCAGUAUUGGGUAGGAUUCCACUGAGCUCCAACUCCCACCCAUAUAUAAAGGGGAGUAAACUCCAUUUGGAGCUUUUCCACCCUCUCUCUCUAUACUCUCUCUCUAGACUCGUUUUCGCCCCGAAUCCGCAACCAAACGCUUCCAAAUCGUAAGUCCGCUUACCCUAGCUUGUUCUAAACAUUACUAGCUGUAGUUAUAGCCCAAAAACCACCCAAGAAGGCAUGGGAUAAGGAGUUUACGGCCCAGGAACACUCUAGGGCCGUAAACCCCUAAAAUGGUGCCAAACAUGCCUUUAAACUUGCCCUUAAGCUUGGAAACUAAUUAGGGAUCUAGCCUAGGAGUGUUUAAACAUCAAAACUCAAUGAAUUGGGGCAUAAAAGUGAGUUUACGGCCCAAGCACAUGCUUAGGCCGUAAACCCCUCAAAACCUUGUCUAAAUGCCCCCAAAACACUCCCAAACCACACUAGGGCUUAACACAUAAAUUAAGGGCUUAGUUUUUUGGCUUUAGAUCACUUAAACACAUCAAAAUGAAGGAUAAAAAUGAGUUUACGGCCCAGGUAUAUACCAAGGCCGUAAACUCCCCAAAACAUGCCCAAAAGGUGGUUUUCGCCCCCCAAAUGACCUUAGGCUAUUUCUAUAAAAUGCUAGGGAGGAUUUAAGGACUCAAACUCAUGAAAUGGUGGGGUAAAAAGGAGUUUACGGCCCAAGCAAGUGUCUAGGUCGUAAACUCCCUAAAACACAUGCAAAUGUUAGAUUUAAUCCCCCAAAAUAUCAUCACACUUCAUUAGAAAUUGCUAGAAAGGUAAUAGGGGCUUGAAACUUCACAAAACACUAAGGGUGAGAGUUUACGGCCGUAAACUCCCUUAGGAGUGUCCCUAGGCCAUAAACUCCAAGUUAGUGCCCUUAGAAGCCUCAAACCCACUUAUGCCUUUUGGGAAAAGUGCUUAGAAUAAUUCCAUGAUGCAAGUAGAAGCCUUAAACACCCAAGAACCCCUCACCAUGAGUUUACGGCCGUAAACUCAUGGUGAGAUGUCCCUGGGCCGUAAACUAGUUGAUAAGGGUGUAUUCUUGGAGGGUAAACUUCAUUCCUUAGCCAUACACACCCUUAAACGCUACCCGGGACACCCAAACACUUAGCCAAAGUGUUUUCCGCUCCUGUGAGCGCGUAUACUUGUUUAAUUAAUAUUAAAUGUGCUAAUUGUAUUUGAACAUAUGUUAGCAUAUGUUAAAAUAGGUCAUUGUGUGUGUUCAAGUCCUUGCGUGACACCGAACGCCCAAACGGCACCUUCGUCGGACCUACUUACACCAGGUGAGUUCAUACCCCUGAAUGAACCUUUUUAACGCUUUUAAAUGUUUUUAUAGGGGGGAUUACAAGUUAAACAUGCCAGUUAUCAUAUCAAUCACAUGUGAUUGAUAACCUGCAUGCACAAGAUUUUACCACUGUGCACUGUUUACCGAGUAGGACACUAUAAUGGUUUUAUAUUGUUUCAAAACUCUUACUUAUACUGUUUUAACUAGAUUCAUUCUAAACUGGUUUAUGAAAGAUUUUCCAAGAUUUUCAAACAUAUUUUGCAAAAGAAUACAAUUUGUGAUUUUCUUUGUACAUAAAUGCUUUUCAUCAAAGAUUCCCUCUUUCGACGUAUACUUUUACUUGUUAAAUACUGCGGCUUCGCUUAUACUUAUUUUAUACUCCUACUCUGCAACGCUUUCACAUAUACUGGCAGUCGCUUAUACCUGGUGGACGCUUAUACUUAUUCAUACUCUUACUUAGAGAUACAACUCUACUUCACUUAUACUUGAUAUCGACUCUACUUCACUUAUACUUGAUACGCCCUCGCUUCACUUAUUGUCGUCUCUACUUCGUAAUACGCUUAUACUUGUUCGACACUUCUACUUCACUUGCGACCUCUUCUACUUCACUUGUUAGACGCUUCUACUUCAUAAAGACCACUUCUACUUGAUACACACUCAGUCGUAGUUGGAUGUAUGUCUGUGCUUAUAUAGGUACAUAUAAGUAAUGGUUGAAAGACUUAGGAAGGCUCGUCUGCCCUAUUUCCUUUUCUUCAUUGAGAUGUGGUCUGGUGGGAUCGGAUGGCCGU
Molecule: long non-coding RNA, 8171 nt
Filed under: Lactuca sativa (garden lettuce)
Lineage: Eukaryota; Viridiplantae; Streptophyta; Magnoliopsida; Asterales; Asteraceae
Description: long non-coding RNA (LSAT_LNC010116)
Source: RNAcentral